UAAUACGGGGGGUGCAAGCGUUGUUCGGAAUUAUUGGGCGUAAAGAGCGUGUAGGCGGCCGGAUAUGUCAGAUGUGAAAGCCCCGGGCUUAACCCGGGAAGUGCAUUUGAAACUGUCCGGCUCGAGUAGGGGAGAGGGAAGUGGAAUUCCUGGUGUAGAGGUGAAAUUCGUAGAUAUCAGGAGGAACACCGGUGGCGAAGGCGACUUCCUGGCCCUAUACUGACGCUGAGACGCGAGAGCGUGGGUAGCAAACAGG
RNAcentral lists this ribosomal RNA (256 nucleotides) under uncultured bacterium. RNAcentral's name for it is "partial 16S ribosomal RNA". It matches the Rfam family "Bacterial small subunit ribosomal RNA", at positions 521 to 776 of the family's 1533-position model. The record is from RNAcentral.